UUAGGUGCCAAUAAAUAUGGGGCGGAAAUAAAUAAAUGGCAUGGACUUGGUGGCAUGGAGGACACCUUUCCCAUUUGAAACACUUCCAGGAUAAGAAAAUAAAUUAAAUAAAUUAGACCUAAUCUAAUUAGAUCAAAGGCAAUAGUUUAAGACUAGCUUAAAUUCAUUUAAACUAACCUAAUUAGAAACUUGAGUUAAUACAAUGUGUUAGCA
Molecule: long non-coding RNA, 213 nt
Filed under: Elaeis guineensis (African oil palm)
Lineage: Eukaryota; Viridiplantae; Streptophyta; Magnoliopsida; Arecales; Arecaceae
Description: long non-coding RNA (EGUI_LNC070362)
Source: RNAcentral